Molecule: ribosomal RNA, 3003 nt
Filed under: Escherichia coli
Lineage: Bacteria; Pseudomonadati; Pseudomonadota; Gammaproteobacteria; Enterobacterales; Enterobacteriaceae
Description: 23S ribosomal RNA
Rfam family: Bacterial large subunit ribosomal RNA
Source: RNAcentral
GGUUAAGCGACUAAGCGUACACGGUGGAUGCCCUGGCAGUCAGAGGCGAUGAAGGACGUGCUAAUCUGCGAUAAGCGUCGGUAAGGUGAUAUGAACCGUUAUAACCGGCGAUUUCCGAAUGGGGAAACCCAGUGUGUUUCGACACACUAUCAUUAACUGAAUCCAUAGGUUAAUGAGGCGAACCGGGGGAACUGAAACAUCUAAGUACCCCGAGGAAAAGAAAUCAACCGAGAUUCCCCCAGUAGCGGCGAGCGAACGGGGAGCAGCCCAGAGCCUGAAUCAGUGUGUGUGUUAGUGGAAGCGUCUGGAAAGGCGCGCGAUACAGGGUGACAGCCCCGUACACAAAAAUGCACAUACUGUGAGCUCGAUGAGUAGGGCGGGACACGUGGUAUCCUGUCUGAAUAUGGGGGGACCAUCCUCCAAGGCUAAAUACUCCUGACUGACCGAUAGUGAACCAGUACCGUGAGGGAAAGGCGAAAAGAACCCCGGCGAGGGGAGUGAAAAAGAACCUGAAACCGUGUACGUACAAGCAGUGGGAGCCUCUUAAUGGGGUGACUGCGUACCUUUUGUAUAAUGGGUCAGCGACUUAUAUUCUGUAGCAAGGUUAACCGAAUAGGGGAGCCGAAGGGAAACCGAGUCUUAACUGGGCGUUAAGUUGCAGGGUAUAGACCCGAAACCCGGUGAUCUAGCCAUGGGCAGGUUGAAGGUUGGGUAACACUAACUGGAGGACCGAACCGACUAAUGUUGAAAAAUUAGCGGAUGACUUGUGGCUGGGGGUGAAAGGCCAAUCAAACCGGGAGAUAGCUGGUUCUCCCCGAAAGCUAUUUAGGUAGCGCCUCGUGAAUUCAUCUCCGGGGGUAGAGCACUGUUUCGGCAAGGGGGUCAUCCCGACUUACCAACCCGAUGCAAACUGCGAAUACCGGAGAAUGUUAUCACGGGAGACACACGGCGGGUGCUAACGUCCGUCGUGAAGAGGGAAACAACCCAGACCGCCAGCUAAGGUCCCAAAGUCAUGGUUAAGUGGGAAACGAUGUGGGAAGGCCCAGACAGCCAGGAUGUUGGCUUAGAAGCAGCCAUCAUUUAAAGAAAGCGUAAUAGCUCACUGGUCGAGUCGGCCUGCGCGGAAGAUGUAACGGGGCUAAACCAUGCACCGAAGCUGCGGCAGCGACACUAUGUGUUGUUGGGUAGGGGAGCGUUCUGUAAGCCUGNNNNNNNNNNNNNNNNNNNNNNNNNNNNNNNNNNNNNNNNNNNNNNNNNNNNNNNNNNNNNNNNNNNNNNNNNNNNNNNNNNNNNNNNNNNNNNNNNNGUGAAGGUGUACUGUGAGGUAUGCUGGAGGUAUCAGAAGUGCGAAUGCUGACAUAAGUAACGAUAAAGCGGGUGAAAAGCCCGCUCGCCGGAAGACCAAGGGUUCCUGUCCAACGUUAAUCGGGGCAGGGUGAGUCGACCCCUAAGGCGAGGCCGAAAGGCGUAGUCGAUGGGAAACAGGUUAAUAUUCCUGUACUUGGUGUUACUGCGAAGGGGGGACGGAGAAGGCUAUGUUGGCCGGGCGACGGUUGUCCCGGUUUAAGCGUGUAGGCUGGUUUUCCAGGCAAAUCCGGAAAAUCAAGGCUGAGGCGUGAUGACGAGGCACUACGGUGCUGAAGCAACAAAUGCCCUGCUUCCAGGAAAAGCCUCUAAGCAUCAGGUAACAUCAAAUCGUACCCCAAACCGACACAGGUGGUCAGGUAGAGAAUACCAAGGCGCUUGAGAGAACUCGGGUGAAGGAACUAGGCAAAAUGGUGCCGUAACUUCGGGAGAAGGCACGCUGAUAUGUAGGUGAAGUCCCUUGCGGAUGGAGCUGAAAUCAGUCGAAGAUACCAGCUGGCUGCAACUGUUUAUUAAAAACACAGCACUGUGCAAACACGAAAGUGGACGUAUACGGUGUGACGCCUGCCCGGUGCCGGAAGGUUAAUUGAUGGGGUUAGCGGUAACGCGAAGCUCUUGAUCGAAGCCCCGGUAAACGGCGGCCGUAACUAUAACGGUCCUAAGGUAGCGAAAUUCCUUGUCGGGUAAGUUCCGACCUGCACGAAUGGCGUAAUGAUGGCCAGGCUGUCUCCACCCGAGACUCAGUGAAAUUGAACUCGCUGUGAAGAUGCAGUGUACCCGCGGCAAGACGGAAAGACCCCGUGAACCUUUACUAUAGCUUGACACUGAACAUUGAGCCUUGAUGUGUAGGAUAGGUGGGAGGCUUUGAAGUGUGGACGCCAGUCUGCAUGGAGCCGGCCUUGAAAUACCACCCUUUAAUGUUUGAUGUUCUAACGUUGGCCCCUGAUCGGGGUUGCGGACAGUGUCUGGUGGGUAGUUUGACUGGGGCGGUCUCCUCCUAAAGAGUAACGGAGGAGCACGAAGGUUGGCUAAUCCUGGUCGGACAUCAGGAGGUUAGUGCAAUGGCAUAAGCCAGCUUGACUGCGAGCGUGACGGCGCGAGCAGGUGCGAAAGCAGGUCAUAGUGAUCCGGUGGUUCUGAAUGGAAGGGCCAUCGCUCAACGGAUAAAAGGUACUCCGGGGAUAACAGGCUGAUACCGCCCAAGAGUUCAUAUCGACGGCGGUGUUUGGCACCUCGAUGUCGGCUCAUCACAUCCUGGGGCUGAAGUAGGUCCCAAGGGUAUGGCUGUUCGCCAUUUAAAGUGGUACGCGAGCUGGGUUUAGAACGUCGUGAGACAGUUCGGUCCCUAUCUGCCGUGGGCGCUGGAGAACUGAGGGGGGCUGCUCCUAGUACGAGAGGACCGGAGUGGACGCAUCACUGGUGUUCGGGUUGUCAUGCCAAUGGCACUGCCCGGUAGCUAAAUGCGGAAGAGAUAAGUGCUGAAAGCAUCUAAGCACGAAACUUGCCCCGAGAUGAGUUCUCCCUGACUCCUUGAGAGUCCUGAAGGAACGUUGAAGACGACGACGUUGAUAGGCCGGGUGUGUAAGCGCAGCGAUGCGUUGAGCUAACCGGUACUAAUGAACCGUGAGGCUUAACCUU